GAAAUAACGUGUUUACCUGUAUAUGCAUUUAUGAAUCAUCUUAUACCAUGCUGUUGGGUUUUAAUCUAAUGAAAAUGACGAGGGUGCACCCUGGCAUCUGAAGUGUGUCAUGAUGUAAGGGCAGAGGACAGUGGAGCCUACCUAACCUGGAGUGUAGUGAAAUACAGAAAAGGCUCCUUCGCCUCAGUUCUGCACCACAAGUGCCUUUAGGGUGAGGGUCUGCACCUUGUUAGCAUUCAGAACUUGGUGAAAGAGAGCUAAGAGUUUCAAGCUCUGGCAGCAGGAGACCCAUCCUAGUCUUCACUUUGUUCUGUUUGCUUCUUUGUGUAUCCCGGACUGGCCUGGGACUGAGUGCUGGCAUCUCUUGUUCUUACUCAGGAUAAAGGCCAUUCUUGUUUGAGUAAUGCUCUAACAUUUGACUGCACAGGUUCCCAUUUCCUCUUCUACAAAUAGGCAGAAAAUAGGAAGUUUAAUAAGCUUGGCCUGCUUCAAGACAGUAUCUCAAGAAAGAGGGCGGGGUGGGGGUGGGCUGGAGAGAUGGUUCAGCAGCUAAGAGUCCACACUGUUGUUCCAGAGGACUGGAGUUCAAGUCCCAGCACCCACACUGGGUGGCUCACAACUGCUAAAACACCAGCUCCAGAGAAUUCAAAACCUCUGGCCUCCACUGGCACCCACACUCAUGUGCACGUACCCCCAACCUAUGCACAUAAGUAACAAUAAGAUAAAAAUAUUUUUUAAUUAAUUAAUUUAUUUAUUAUAUAUAUAAUAUUCUGUCUGUGUGUAUGCCUGGAAGGCCAGAAGAGGGCACCAGACCCCAUUACAGAUGGUUGUGAGCCACCAUGUGGUUGCUGGGAAUUGAACUCAGGACCUUUGGAAGAGCAGGCAAUGCUCUUAACCUCUGAGCCAUCUCUCCAGCCCCAGAUAAAAAUAUUUUUUUAAAUUUUUUUAAUACUUAUUUAUUUAUUAUGUAUACAAUAUUCUGUCUGUGUGUAUGCCUGAGAUAGCUGUGAGCCACCACGUGGUUGCUGGGAAUUGAACUCAGGACCUUUGGAAGAGCAGCCAAUGCUCUUAACCUCUGAGCCAUCUUUCCAGCCCCAGAUAAAAAUAUUUUUAAGAAAAUUAGAAGCCAGGUGGUGGUGGCACAUGCCUUUAAUUCCAGCACUCGGGAGGCAGAGGCAGGUGAAUCUCUGAGUUCGAGGCUAGCCUGGUCUACUGAGUUGCAGAACAGCCACGGCUACACAGAGAAGCCCUGUCUUGAAACCCUUCUCCCCAACAAAAAAAUGAAUUGGAAAUGUAUAUUAAAAUCCUCAUCUGCUUAAAUCCAUUAUAUAAAAUGGCAUAGUGUUUGCAAAUACAUACCUACAUCCUCCCUUAUAUCUUGUUUUUAUUUCUUCGGUUUGAGAUAGAAUAUUACAUCAUAGUCCUGGCUGGGCUGGAACUCACAAUGUAGCUCACACUGGCCUUGAAUUCACAAUCCUUCUGCAUCAGUUUCCUGGGUGCUGGGACCAGGUGUUUAUCAGCAUACCCAGCCUCCCUUCCUGGUUGUGGACAUCAUCUCUAGAGUAUGUGGCAUAUUCCUAGUAUAUUUCAGGUGCUGUGUGAACAGCUGUUGUACUGUGCUGUUUAAGGAGAAUUUAAAAGAGAAGUCAGUACAAAAUGUCCAGGACACAACUGUGGUGUUUAUAGAUAUAAGGACCAACUGUAUCUUAAUGAAAAUUUUUUGGAAAAAAAACCUAAUUUGAAUAAUAAUGAACAGAGAUAAAUACAUUUUUCAAAACAAGAAUAUACGUAGCUACUAUUUAUAAUCACUAUUCUUUCAUAUAAGAUUGUGUGUGUGUAUUGAGAAUUGAAUCCAAAGACCUCAUGCAAACUCAGACAACAUAAUCUCCUACUGAACUACAUCCCUAAACUAAGAAAAAAAAUAUCUUAAUACCACAGAAGUGGGAAAUCUUUAAUUUAAAAAUGAAGAACAUUUAGCUUUAAAUUUUUUUAUCAUGUUUUAUUUACUUAUUGUGGAGUGUGUGGAGGGGUGCAUGGAUGCCAUGGUGGGAGUCUGGAGAUCAGAGGAUAAUUUUCAGGUUUGUCCUUCCACCAUGUCAGUCCUGGGGAUUGAACUCAGGUUGUCAGUCAUGGCGAGAGGUUCUUGUUCUGGCGAGCUAACUCACUAGCCCAACAGUUCACUUUGUAAAGAACUAUGAUAGCAGAUUGACCCAGCGAAUCUCAGUUUUCUGUCUACCAAGGAGGCAGUCAUUGUAAGCUACAUCAGUAACUGGUCUGGAAGGCCACUUGAAGCCCUUCCUUUCUGUGGCUCUGUGAAGAUGCAAGCAUGCAGACACUGUUCCACACUCUUGAGAUCUAUUAGGACACCAGCAGAACUCGUGAGAAAUUCAUGGUUCUCUUCCAUCUGCCCAUUCGUUCAUCAGUCCUAGAUGCUGCCUCUGUUCUACGUAACAUUCAAGCAAAAGCCGUAUCAUUCUUUUGGAAGUUAGUUUCUCCAAAAGCGGGUGCUAACCACUGCUGCUCUGUAUCUCAGAGGUAGAAAAAUCCAUUUGCCUGGCCCAGUUUCUAUCAAGAACAGAUUUGUAGGAGCCCUGGACUUCCUCUGACUUUUAUAGACUUGUUUAUGUGUACCUGUGUUUGCCUGUAUCUGUGUUUGGGCACCAUGUGUGUGCCUGGUGCCUGAGGAGGUCAGAAGAGGGCAUUGGAUUGUGAGCUACCAUGUGGAUGCCGGGAACUGAACCUGGGUCCUUUGUAAGAGUAGUAAGUGCUCUUAACUGCUAAGCCAUCUCUCCAGUCUCCAUGGCUCUUAACCAAGGCUCCAUAGCAGAUGACUUAAUUCUAAACCAGCCCAGAGGGCCCACCCAUCAUUCCAUCAUCUAGAAAUGCCCCACAUCCCCUGUGUUGCAAGGCAUUCCAGGAGUUAGUUAGCCAUCUAAUAGAAGAGGCAGCCAAACAAUUAGUCCAUGAAUAUGGACAACGUCAGGAUGGCACACACAUAUGGAGGGAGAGAGAGAACUAGAACCAGGAGUUGAUACAGAGAGACAGCACAGGUUCUCAAGUAAAGGAUAUGAGGUUAAAUGAAACUGCAAAGACAAGCGGAAGUUUGUUAGGUGGGGAGGGUAGGUGGAUGAAGCUGAGCAUCCUGAAUAGAACCUGAAGCAUCAGGACCAACCCCAGGGAAGUGCUGUGUUCUGGAAGCGCCAAGAUUGCACCAGGACUAUGUGGCCUGGAGAAGUUAGAUGGGUCGUGUCAGAUUUACACUGAGCUCAGUGUAAUGUCAAGCCCUGGAUUCGCCCUGAAGGAGCUCAAGGAAAAUCCACCCAGAGCAGACUCAACAGGUGCACCUGAGUCCAGCUUCAAAUUUCUAGGUAUUUCACUAUAACUGGAGGUUUCUCUCCUGCCCACCAGUUCCCAAUAUCCACUCCAAGGCUUAAUAUUAAUUACAAACUGUUUGGCCUGUUAGCUCAGGCUUAUUACUAACUGACUUUUAUAUCUUAAAAUAACCCAUUUCUAUUAUUCUAUAUUUUACCAUAGACUCAUGACUUGUUACCUCAUAUCUUGCUUCCCCAGUGGCUGGUGGUGUCUCUUUGACUCUGCCUUCUUUCCCUGUCACCUAGCUAUAUUCUGCCUGGCUAUUUGCCAAAUCAACUUUUUUAUUAAUCAAUGAUAAUAAGAUCUAUUCACAUCAUUCAUCUAGAAGUGGCCUGGACCACUUCCCUUCAUCGUGUUCUAAGAAACUUGUAGACAGGCCCCACUCCAUUGAGACCUGGGGGGGAUGGAUGUGCAGUAACUAGAGUUUGUAGUGUUGUUGUUUGAUCAACCUGUAAGAUGAGGUGAAAGUUUAUGACAGAAAUAAUCUUUCAUAGGAAACUAUGGAUAACCCAAACUGUAAUUACUGGAAGGUAGAUUCUCUUAAUAGUUUCUUAUUUACCAGACGUAGAAACCAUGCACAGGUUUAAGGAACUUGUUUGGAUGUGAUUUGUGUCCCCCGGACACAUAUGUUGGAAGCUUGGUUACCGGGUGACAGGAUUUAAGAGGUGGGGCCUAGUACAAGACCAUGGUACAUUACACUUAGAAGGAAUUUAUGCCAGUCUCCUCAGGGAAAUGGGCUGUCCAAAGGGGGCCACCUCAUGUGUGUGGCCUCUUGCACGUGUGACCCUUCCAUUUGUCCACUUUGUUGUGUUAUAGCCGAGGAUCACUCACCAGAAGCCAAACAAACAUGGCCACAUCAUUGGACUUUUUUCUUUUCAAUUUUUAAGUAUUUUGCGUGUGGGGGCUGGAGACCUGGCUCAGAAGUUAAGAGCACUGGCUGCUCUUCCAGGGGUCCUGAGUUCAAUUCCCAGCAACCACAUGGUGGUUCACAACCAUCUGUAAUGAGAUCUUGUGCCCUCUUCUGGCAUCCAAGCAUACAUGCAGACAGAAUACUGUAUACAUAAUAAAUACAUAAAUAAACAGAUAAAUAACAUCUUUAAAAAAUAUUUUGCAUAGAAAAAGGAAAAAAUAUUUUGCAUGUGGAUGUUUUGCCUGUGUGUUUGUGCAGUAUUUGCAUGAAGUGCCCAUAGAAGCCAGAAGAGGGUAUCAGAUCCCCUGGUAUAAAUGGUUAUGAGCUACCAUUUGGGUGCUAGAAACCAAAUCCUGAUCCUCUGGAGGAGCAGCUGGUGCUCUAAUGGUUGAGGCAUGUCUCCAGCCCAAGAAAAAUUUGAAUGUAUGUGUCUUAGUUAGGGUUUCUGUUGCUGUGAAGAGACACCAUGACCAUAGCAAUUCUUACAAAGGAAAACAUUUAAUUGAGUGGCUUAUAGUUCAGAGGAUAAGUCCAUUGUCUUCAUGGUGGCACAUGGCAGAUGCAGGCAGGUAAGGUGCUGGAGAAGGAGCUAAGAAUUCUACAUCUUGAUUCCCUGGCCAUAGGAAGUGAACUGAGACACUGGGUGUGGCUUGAGCAUAUGUGAUACCUCAAAGCCUGCCUCCACAGUGACUCUUCCAACAAGACCACACCUAUGCCAAGGCCACACAUCCUAAUAGUGCCACUCCCUUUGGGGCCAUUUUCUUUCAAACCACCACAUCUAGGGAGAGCUCUAUUUCCAUCAUUAUAGAGGAAAUAAGCCAAGCACCAAGAACCUUUUAGCCGAUAACCAAGCAUGUCUGAAAAAGUGGCUCCUCAGAAGAGUCUGUAAGUGGACUAGGCAUUGGGGAGAUACUAAGGCAACAUUUUAACCAAGUUUUUAUCUGAUCAUAUGCAUUCCUUGAAUUUUGUGGGCUUGUCCUAGGUGUUUAGUUAUAAUUUCCUUUUUUUAAAAGACUUUUAAGUAUGUGUGUGUGUGUAUGCGCACGUGUGUGUGUGUGUGUGUGUGUGUGUGUGUGUGUGUAUGUGCGUGUGUGUGUGUGUACGCAUAUGUGCUCUCAGAGGCCAGAUCCCCUGGAGCUAGAGUCACAGGUGGUUGGAGUUGCCUGAUGUUGGUGCUGGGAACUGACUGUGGGUCUUCUGGAAGGGCAAGCAAGUUCUCAACCUGGAGCCAUCUCUGCAGCCUCUAAUUAUGUCUGAGUUUCAACAGUUUCAAUUGCUCAACCUCAGGCUGACUCUCAGUGGGUUCUGUAGGGUCCUGUCUAACGUGCGGUAUUUCCGAGGCAGUUCCCACCACAGCCCUUCCCCUUUUGUGGCUAGUAGUUUAUACUCACAUUUACGUUUGAACUUCUGACCUGUAAUCUAAGCUGCUUUAAUUAGGGAGAUGCUGAGGGUGAUGCAGAUCCAAAGUUGGGGUAUCUUUCACUCUUCAGACAUAGUCAACAGCUUUUCAGGUGAUGGGAAAACUUACACCUGAGACCGUAGCUGUAUUUUACUGUAACUGCAACAUUGUGGCUGGCUAUGGCAGUUCCCCUGUGUGUUCGGGCAGAGCCAAGUCCUGUCCUCCACUUGCUUGUCUCCUGCUUCUUUACUGAGUGCAGUUGGAUACAAAGGGGCUGGUGCACAGGGCAACAGAAGAAAUGACUCCCGUUAGAUGUCAAGCUCCCAUGAUCUUUAUUUACCCCAGGCACCUGUGGGACAUUUUACACUUGGGCUAUUUCAUUCCCUCUGGUAAUUAUAGGUGACAUAAAAAAUGUCUUCAGGCCGGGCGGUGAUGGCGCACGCCUUUAAUCCCAGCACUUGGGAGGCAGAGGCAGGCGGAUCUCUGUAAGUUCGAGACCAGCCUGGUCUACAAGAGCUAGUUCCAGGACAGGCUCCAAAACCACAGAGAAACCCUGUCUUGAAA
This is a long non-coding RNA of Alexandromys fortis (reed vole), 6245 nucleotides long. RefSeq lists it as uncharacterized. NCBI's taxonomy places the organism in Eukaryota, Metazoa, Chordata, Mammalia, Rodentia, Cricetidae. The transcript is spliced from 2 exons. The record is from RefSeq and is a predicted model, not a curated record.